This 284-nucleotide ribosomal RNA is filed under the name uncultured bacterium. RNAcentral describes it as "partial 16S ribosomal RNA". It matches the Rfam family "Bacterial small subunit ribosomal RNA", at positions 74 to 354 of the family's 1533-position model. The record is from RNAcentral.
CCGGGACCCGGGGCGGACGUGGCCUAGUGGCGGACGGGUGAGUAACGCGUGGGCAAUCUGCCCCGUACCGGGGGAUAACACCUGGAAACAGGUGCUAACACCGCAUGACAGGCGGGGGCGCAUGCCCCGGCCUUGAAAACUCCGGUGGUACGGGAUGAGCCCGCGUCCGAUUAGCCAGUUGGCGGGGUAACGGCCCACCAAAGCGACGAUCGGUAGCCGGCCUGAGAGGGUGGACGGCCACAUUGGGACUGAGACACGGCCCAAACUCCUACGGAAGGCAGCAG